Molecule: non-coding RNA, 105 nt
Organism: Aaosphaeria arxii CBS 175.79
Lineage: Eukaryota; Fungi; Ascomycota; Dothideomycetes; Pleosporales
Source: the annotation of a RefSeq genome assembly
GGCUUGGUGGUGUAGUUGGUUUAUCACGUCAGUCUUACAUCACGUGAUUCCGAUUGCGUUUCCUGUGUGCACUGAAGGUCCCGAGUUCGAGCCUCGGCCGAGUCA